This 468-nucleotide ribosomal RNA is filed under the name uncultured bacterium. Its description in RNAcentral is "partial 16S ribosomal RNA". It matches the Rfam family "Bacterial small subunit ribosomal RNA", at positions 28 to 507 of the family's 1533-position model. The record is from RNAcentral.
GACGAACGCUGGCGGCGUGCUUAACACAUGCAAGUCGAACGGAAAGGCCCUGCUUUUGUGGGGUGCUCGAGUAGCGAACGGGUGAGUAACACGUGAGUAACCUGCCCUUGACGUUGGGAUAACGUCAGGAAACUGGAGCUAAUACCGGAUAGGAGCUCCUGCUGCAGGGUGGGGGUUGGAAAGUUUCGGCGGAUGGGGAUGGACGCGCGGCUUAUCAGCUUGUUGGUGGGGUAGUGGCUUACCAAGGCUUUGACGGGUAGCCGGCCUGAGAGGGUGACCGGCCACAUUGGGACUGCGAUACGGCCCAGACUCCUACGGGAGGCAGCAGUGGGGAAUAUUGCACAAUGGGCGGAAGCCUGAUGCAGCAACGCCGCGUUCGUGAUGACGGCCUUCGGGUUGUAAACCGCUUUCGCCUGUGACGAAGCGUGAGUGACGGUAAUGGGUAAAGAAGCACCGGCUAACUACGUG